AAUAUAAGAGGUCCCGCCUGCCCUGUGACUAUAUGUUUAACGGCCGCGGUAUCUUAACCGUGCGAAGGUAGCGUAAUCACUUGUCUUUUAAAUGAAGACCUGUAUGAAUGGCAUCACGAGGGCUUAACUGUCUCCCCUCUCCAGUCAAUGAAAUUGACCUCCCCGUGCAGAGGCGGGGAUAUCUUUAUAAGACGAGAAGACCCUGUGGAGCUUUAGACCUAAAAUAAACCACGUUUAAGAUACUAAAAUUAAUAGCAAAAACUUAGUGGACAAUUAUUAAAGUGUCUUUGGUUGGGGCGACCGCGGAGUAAAACACAACCUCCAUGUGGACGGGGAUACUAUCCCUAAAACUCAGAGCCUCCACUCCAAGCAACAGAAAUUCUGACCUAACUGAUCCGGUAUAACCGAUUAACGAACCCAGUUACCCCAGGGAUAACAGCGCAAUCCCCUCUCAGAGCUCAUAUCGACGAGGGGGUUUACGACCUCGAUGUUGGAUCAGGACAUCCUAGUGGUGCAGCCGCUAUUAGGGUUCGUUUGUUCAACGAUUAAAGUCCUACGUGAUC
RNAcentral lists this ribosomal RNA (563 nucleotides) under Merluccius capensis (shallow-water Cape hake). RNAcentral's name for it is "partial 16S ribosomal RNA". It matches the Rfam family "Bacterial large subunit ribosomal RNA", at positions 1842 to 2605 of the family's 2925-position model. Lineage: Eukaryota; Metazoa; Chordata; Actinopteri; Gadiformes; Merlucciidae. The record is from RNAcentral.